RNAcentral lists this ribosomal RNA (497 nucleotides) under uncultured bacterium. RNAcentral describes it as "partial 16S ribosomal RNA". It matches the Rfam family "Bacterial small subunit ribosomal RNA", at positions 28 to 507 of the family's 1533-position model. The record is from RNAcentral.
GAUGAACGCUGGCGGCGUGCCUAAUACAUGCAAGUCGAGCGAACGGACGAGAAGCUUGCUUCUCUGACGUUAGCGGCGGACGGGUGAGUAACACGUGGAUAACCUACCUAUAAGACUGGGAUAACUUCGGGAAACCGGAGCUAAUACCGGAUAAUAUUUUGAACCGCAUGGUUCAAAAGUGAAAGACGGUCUUGCUGUCACUUAUAGAUGGAUCCGCGCUGCAUUAGCUAGUUGGUAAGGUAACGGCCUUCCAAGGCAACGAUGCAUAGCCGACCUGAGAGGUUGAUCGGCCACACUGGAGCUGAGACGCGGUCACGACUCCUACGGUAGGCAGCAGUAGGGGAUCUUCCGCAAUGGGCGGAAGCCUGACAGAACAACGCCACGUGUGUGAUGAAGAUCUUCGGAUCGUGAAACUCUGUUAUGAGGGAAGAACAUAUGUGUAAGUGACUGUGCACAUCUUGACGGUACCUGAUCAGAAAGCCACGGCUAACUACGUG